This 459-nucleotide ribosomal RNA is filed under the name uncultured bacterium. RNAcentral describes it as "partial 16S ribosomal RNA". It matches the Rfam family "Bacterial small subunit ribosomal RNA", at positions 338 to 795 of the family's 1533-position model. The record is from RNAcentral.
CCUACGGGGUGCAGCAGUGAGGAAUAUUGGUCAAUGGGCGCGAGCCUGAACCAGCCAAGUCGCGUGAGGGAAGACGGUCCUAUGGAUUGUAAACCUCUUUUGUCGGGGAGCAAAAGACGCCACGCGUGGCGUUCCGAGAGUACCCGAAGAAAAAGCAUCGGCUAACUCCGUGCCAGCAGCCGCGGUAAUACGGAGGAUGCGAGCGUUAUCCGGAUUUAUUGGGUUUAAAGGGUGCGCAGGCGGAAGAUCAAGUCAGCGGUAAAAUUGAGAGGCUCAACCUGUUCGAGCCGUUGAAACUGGUUGUCUUGAGUGAGCGAGAAGUAGGCGGAAUGCGUGGUGUAGCGGUGAAAUGCAUAGAUAUCACGCAGAACUCCGAUUGCGAAGGCAGCAUACCGGCGCUCAACUGACGCUCAUGCACGAAAGUGUGGGUAUCGAACAGGAUUAGAUACCCGGGUAGUC